UGAGUGGCGGACGGGUGAGUAACGCGUGGGCAACCUGCCCUGUACAGGGGGACAACACUUAGAAAUAGGUGCUAAUACCGCAUAACGGGGGGAGCCGCAUGGCACCCCCCUGAAAACUCCGGUGGUACAGGAUGGGCCCGCGUCUGAUUAGCUGGUUGGCAGGGUAACGGCCUACCAAGGCGACGAUCAGUAGCCGGCCUGAGAGGGCGGACGGCCACACUGGGACUGAGACACGGCCCAGACUCCUACGGAAGGCAGCAG
Molecule: ribosomal RNA, 261 nt
Filed under: uncultured bacterium
Lineage: Bacteria
Description: partial 16S ribosomal RNA
Rfam family: Bacterial small subunit ribosomal RNA
Source: RNAcentral